AUGUUCGGCAAUUGGUUGAGGGGAAUAGAUAAACAAUUGUCUAAGCACAUUCUUGCGGGGGCAGCUGCCUUAUGUUGGGCGUUGUGGCUCACCAGGAAUGAUAUUGUUUUUAAUCAUAAAAGUAUUUCAUCUCCUAUGCAGGUAAUUCAUAUAUGCUCGCGAUGGCUCCGUAUGUGGUCUAUCCUGCAGAGGCCGAAGGACAGAGACUUUUUUAUGAUGGCUUCUACCCGGUUGGAGUGCUCGGCCAGGGACAUUUUUUACCCUCAUGGAUGGCGGUGUGACCUUCGGAUUGGACCGGCAUCACCUUAG
Molecule: ribosomal RNA, 309 nt
Filed under: Triticum aestivum (bread wheat)
Lineage: Eukaryota; Viridiplantae; Streptophyta; Magnoliopsida; Poales; Poaceae
Description: partial small subunit ribosomal RNA
Source: RNAcentral